This 397-nucleotide ribosomal RNA is filed under the name uncultured bacterium. RNAcentral's name for it is "partial 16S ribosomal RNA". It matches the Rfam family "Bacterial small subunit ribosomal RNA", at positions 523 to 918 of the family's 1533-position model. The record is from RNAcentral.
AUACGAAGGGUGCAAGCGUUACUCGGAAUUACUGGGCGUAAAGCGUGCGUAGGUGGUUGUUUAAGUCUGUCGUGAAAGCCCUGGGCUCAACCUGGGAAUGGCGAUGGAAACUGGGCGACUAGAGUGUGGCAGAGGGUAGUGGAAUUCCUGGUGUAGCAGUGAAAUGCGUAGAGAUCAGGAGGAACAUCCGUGGCGAAGGCGACUGCCUGGGCCAGCACUGACACUGAGGCACGAAAGCGUGGGGAGCAAACAGGAUUAGAUACCCUGGUAGUCCACGCCCUAAACGAUGCGAACUGGAUGUUGGGUGCAAUUUGGCACGCAGUAUCGAAGCUAACGCGUUAAGUUCGCCGCCUGGGGAGUACGGUCGCAAGACUGAAACUCAAAGGAAUUGGCGGGG